UACGUAGGUGGCGAGCGUUGUCCGGAUUUACUGGGCGUAAAGGGAGCGUAGGCGGACUUUUAAGUGAGAUGUGAAAUACUCGGGCUCAACUUGAGUGCUGCAUUUCAAACUGGAAGUCUAGAGUGCAGGAGAGGAGAAUGGAAUUCCUAGUGUAGCGGUGAAAUGCGUAGAUAUUAGGAGGAACACCAGUGGCGAAGGCGACUUUCUGGACUGUACCUGACGCUGAGGCGCGAAAGCGUGGGUAGCGAACGGG
RNAcentral lists this ribosomal RNA (253 nucleotides) under uncultured bacterium. RNAcentral describes it as "partial 16S ribosomal RNA". It matches the Rfam family "Bacterial small subunit ribosomal RNA", at positions 524 to 776 of the family's 1533-position model. The record is from RNAcentral.